RNAcentral lists this ribosomal RNA (383 nucleotides) under uncultured eukaryote. RNAcentral describes it as "partial 18S ribosomal RNA". It matches the Rfam family "Eukaryotic small subunit ribosomal RNA", at positions 592 to 976 of the family's 1831-position model. The record is from RNAcentral.
CAAUAGCGUAUAUUAAAGUUGUUGCAGUUAAAAAGCUCGUAGUUGGAUUUCUGGUGGGAGCGAUCGGUCUGGCGCUUAGCGCGAGUACUUGCAUCGUCUCCGGCCACCCUUGGGGAGAGUCUGUCUGGCAUUAGGUUGUCGGGCAGAGGAUCCUCAUCGUUUACUGUGAUAAAAUUAGAGUGUUCAAAGCAGGCUUAUGCCGUUGAAUAUAUUAGCAUGGAAUAAUAAGAUAGGACUUUGGUACUAUUUUGUUGGUUUGCGCACCAAAGUAAUGAUUAAUAGGGACAGUUGGGGGUAUUCGUAUUCCGUUGUCAGAGGUGAAAUUCUUGGAUUUACGGAAGACGAACUACUGCGAAAGCAUUUACCAAGGAUGUUUUCAUUAA